CUAAGUUCUUUUAAAUGAUUUUACAGGAUGGAACCAUAGGAAAUGCAACACAGACAAAGCUGAGGCUCACUAUCCCUAGAGAGCCUGAUCUUGAAACAGCAAAUAGGGCACAAAGGAUAAGGACAAAAACUAGUAAAGAACCUGAAAAUGUGACAUCAACUGUUCGUAGAUUCAAAGCUCUUCCACUAAAUAGAUAAAUUCUUGAAGCACCUUCAUUGUUACUUCCUAAAAGAAGCACCCCUCAUUUACCGGAGUUUCAAGAAUUCCACUUGAAGACAUCAGAGAGGGCUAUGCAACACAUUGCAGCAGAGUCAACGUUCACUGCCCUAAAUGGGAACUUUAGCAGAUAUUUCCAUCAUUCUGAUAAGGUAUUUAGCAGAUAUUUAAAAUGCGAUGAACAUCUUUAACCAAGUAUGGAACUUUAUCCAUUUUCGUCAGAUUGUAUAAUGUCUACGGUACAAUAGUGACUUUGGAACUGGAUGUUCUCAAAAUUAUCAACUUUAUAGGGCACAGUCUAUUCCCUAAAUGGAAAGGUUCAGGUAGGGGUCAAAAACCUUUUUAUUUAUUCUUUUAAUUCUGGAUUUGGCAGUACUUGGCAUGGGCUAGGCUCUAAAUCUAAAAUGAUGCUAAAACUUCAUUGGCUGUUGAUUUAUUUGUUAAUUUUUUGCCUUCUAAUCGAUGAAUGAGAUCUUGUUAUUCAGGGCUUGCAGAAAUCUAGUACUACUACAACCAUAAAAUGUGGAAACAGAGAUCUCAGAAGGUAAUACAUUGAAAUGGUUUCAGAGAUAUUGUGAUGCUUUGUUUAUUGACGGGUGGGAUGUAGCAUUUUACACCUUUUAUAUGCUUUCUAUCCAUAUUUUGUUAGCUUAUUUACUUCUUUCAGUACAUGAAUGUAGCUGACCAGUGCUUGUUGAAACCUGGAACCUUUGUUUUCUUUUUCUGGUUUCGCUUGCUGAUCAAACCUCUUCUGGCCAUUAUUAUUAAUUUGAUUCAAUACGGAUACUUGAUAUUUGCUCUUUUUGUUUUGAUAUGUUUUUCCCCAGAGCAAGAUCACCACAACAAGCGAUGUACUUCUUUUAAACAUGGAAAAUUCGUCUAAAAGCUGGUGUUGCCUAAGGGCAUAUUGGCUGAAGUAUAUUAUUCAUUUUUUAUUCUGCAAUUCCUAUUUUCAUUUCGUAAUAAUUAAAAACAAAGAGAGAAGCACAAAGACAUCUGCUUGUUUU
Olea europaea var. sylvestris is the source of this 1223-nucleotide long non-coding RNA. RefSeq lists it as uncharacterized. The record is from RefSeq and is a predicted model, not a curated record. The transcript has 4 exons. Lineage: Eukaryota; Viridiplantae; Streptophyta; Magnoliopsida; Lamiales; Oleaceae.